CUGCUGCCUCCCGUAGGAGUCUGGUCCGUGUCUCAGUACCAGUGUGGGGGACCUUCCUCUCAGAACCCCUACGCAUCGUCGGUUAGGUGGGCCGUUACCCCGCCUACUGCCUAAUGCGCCGCAUGCCCAUCCCUGUCCGGCCGAAGCCUUUCCUGCCUCCGGGAUGCCCCGGUGGCAUGUACGCGGGUUUAGCCUCCCUUUCGGAAGGUUGUCCCCCUGAAGAGGGCAGGUUGCAUACGUGUUACUCACCCGUGCGCCGGUCGCCGGCAAGGAAAG
This 276-nucleotide ribosomal RNA is filed under the name uncultured bacterium. Its description in RNAcentral is "partial 16S ribosomal RNA". The record is from RNAcentral.